This 773-nucleotide ribosomal RNA is filed under the name uncultured bacterium. RNAcentral describes it as "bacterial SSU rRNA". It matches the Rfam family "Bacterial small subunit ribosomal RNA", at positions 8 to 798 of the family's 1533-position model. The record is from RNAcentral.
AGAGUUUGAUCCUGGCUCAGGACGAACGCUGGCGGCGUGCUUAACACAUGCAAGUCGAACGGAAAGGCCCUUCGGGGUACUCGAGUGGCGAACGGGUGAGUAACACGUGGGUGAUCUGCCCUGCACUCUGGGAUAAGCCUGGGAAACUGGGUCUAAUACCGGAUAGGACCGCAUGCUUCAUGGUGUGUGGUGCAAAGCUUUUGCGGUGUGGGAUGAGCCCGCGGCCUAUCAGCUUGUUGGUGGGGUAAUGGCCUACCAAGGCGACGACGGGUAGCCGGCCUGAGAGGGUGACCGGCCACACUGGGACUGAGAUACGGCCCAGACUCCUACGGGAGGCAGCAGUGGGGAAUAUUGCACAAUGGGCGCAAGCCUGAUGCAGCGACGCCGCGUGAGGGAUGACGGCCUUCGGGUUGUAAACCUCUUUCAGUAGGGACGAAGCGAAAGUGACGGUACCUACAGAAGAAGGACCGGCCAACUACGUGCCAGCAGCCGCGGUAAUACGUAGGGUCCGAGCGUUGUCCGGAAUUACUGGGCGUAAAGAGCUCGUAGGUGGUUUGUCGCGUUGUUCGUGAAAACUCACAGCUUAACUGUGGGCGUGCGGGCGAUACGGGCAGGCUAGAGUACUGCAGGGGAGACUGGAAUUCCUGGUGUAGCGGUGGAAUGCGCAGAUAUCAGGAGGAGCACCGGUGGCGAAGGCGGGUCUCUGGGCAGUAACUGACGCUGAGGAGCGAAAGCGUGGGUAGCGAACAGGAUUAGAUACCCCGGUAGUCCAA